ACGGGUGAGUAAUACAUCGGAACGUGCCCUGUAGUGGGGGAUAACUAGUCGAAAGAUUAGCUAAUACCGCAUACGACCUGAGGGUGAAAGUGGGGGACCGCAAGGCCUCAUGCUAUAGGAGCGGCCGAUGUCUGAUUAGCUAGUUGGUGAGGUAAAGGCUCACCAAGGCGACGAUCAGUAGCUGGUCUGAGAGGACGAUCAGCCACACUGGGACUGAGACACGGCCCAGACUCCUACGGGAGGCAGCAGUGGGGAAUUUUGGACAAUGGGCGAAAGCCUGAUCCAGCAAUGCCGCGUGUGUGAAGAAGGCCUUCGGGUUGUAAAGCACUUUUGUCCGGAAAGAAAUGGCUCUGGUUAAUACCUGGGGUCGAUGACGGUACCGGAAGAAUAAGGACCGGCUAACUACGUGCCAGCAGCCGCGGUAAUACGUAGGGUCCAAGCGUUAAUCGGAAUUACUGGGCGUAAAGCGUGCGCAGGCGGUUGUGCAAGACCGAUGUGAAAUCCCCGAGCUUAACUUGGGAAUUGCAUUGGUGACUGCACGGCUAGAGUGUGUCAGAGGGGGGUAGAAUUCCACGUGUAGC
Molecule: ribosomal RNA, 581 nt
Filed under: uncultured bacterium
Lineage: Bacteria
Description: bacterial SSU rRNA
Rfam family: Bacterial small subunit ribosomal RNA
Source: RNAcentral